UCCACAGGGCUGGUUUCCGUAGCCACCGAU
RNAcentral lists this non-coding RNA (30 nucleotides) under Homo sapiens (human). The record is from RNAcentral. Lineage: Eukaryota; Metazoa; Chordata; Mammalia; Primates; Hominidae.